AACGCGAAGAACCUUACCUGGGCUUGAACCGCUACUGACCAACGGUAGAAAUAUCGUCUUCCCGCAAGGGACAGUAGUAGAGGUGCUGCAUGGCUGUCGUCAGCUCGUGCCGUGAGGUGUUGGGUUAAGUCCCGCAACGAGCGCAACCCUUACUCGUAGUUGCCACCCGCAAGGGGGAACUCUACGAGGACUGCUCCGGAUAACGGAGAGGAAGGUGGGGAUGACGUCAAGUCAGCACGGCCUUUAUGUCCAGGGCUACACACGUGUUACAAUGCGCGGCACAGACUGUUGCGAACCCGCGAGGGGGAGCUAAUCGGACAAAACCGCGCUCAGUUCGGAUUGCAGUCUGCAACUCGGCUGCAUGAAGCUGGAAUCGCUAGUAAUGGCGUAUCAGAUCGACGCCGUGAAUACGUUCCCGGGCCUUGUA
This 427-nucleotide ribosomal RNA is filed under the name uncultured Acidobacteriota bacterium. RNAcentral's name for it is "bacterial SSU rRNA". It matches the Rfam family "Bacterial small subunit ribosomal RNA", at positions 958 to 1385 of the family's 1533-position model. Lineage: Bacteria; Pseudomonadati; Acidobacteriota. The record is from RNAcentral.